RNAcentral lists this ribosomal RNA (235 nucleotides) under uncultured bacterium. RNAcentral describes it as "partial 16S ribosomal RNA". It matches the Rfam family "Bacterial small subunit ribosomal RNA", at positions 102 to 334 of the family's 1533-position model. The record is from RNAcentral.
CCACGGGUGAGUAACACGUAUCCAACCUGCCGUCUACUCUUGGACAGCCUUCUGAAAGGAAAGAUUAAUACAAGAUGGCAUCAUGAGUCCGCAUGUUCACAUGAUUAAAGGUAUUCCGGUAGACGAUGGGGAUGCGUUCCAUUAGAUAGUAGGCGGGGUAACGGCCCACCUAGUCUUCGAUGGAUAGGGGUUCUGAGAGGAAGGUCCCCCACAUUGGAACUGAGACACGGUCCAA